AAUACAGGACGCCCAAUUAAAUUUGAAUUUCAGAUUUAAAAAAUGAAUAUUUUUUAGUAUAAGUAUGCCCCCAUGUAAUUUUGGGGACAUACUUAUACUAAAAUAUUAUUCAUUGUUCAUCUGAAGUUAAAUUUAACUGGGCAUCCUGUAUUAU
Molecule: microRNA precursor, 154 nt
Filed under: Loxodonta africana (African savanna elephant)
Lineage: Eukaryota; Metazoa; Chordata; Mammalia; Proboscidea; Elephantidae
Description: miRNA (ENSLAFG00000024361.1)
Rfam family: mir-1302 microRNA precursor family (bases 51-103)
Source: RNAcentral